RNAcentral lists this ribosomal RNA (298 nucleotides) under Mesocestoides sp. SB-2018. RNAcentral's name for it is "partial 12S ribosomal RNA". Lineage: Eukaryota; Metazoa; Platyhelminthes; Cestoda; Cyclophyllidea; Mesocestoididae. The record is from RNAcentral.
UUAAGAUAUAUGUGGUACAGGAUUAGAUACCCCAUUAAUAUAAUUUUUAAAUUUUCUUAGUUUUUUAACUAAAAUAGUUUGGCAGCGAGCGAACCCUAUUAGGGGAAGGUGUGUUGUAAAGGAUGAUCCGCCUAUUAAUUUACUUUUAUUAUGUUGGUGUAUAUCUGGUUUGAUAUUAUUGCUUUAGUAGUUUAAUUUGUGUAUUUAUAAAUUAAGCCAAGUCUAUGUGCUGCUUGUAAAAGAUUUCAUGCGUUACAUUUAUAAAUAUAUUGAUGUAAGGGAAUUUAUAUAUUGAGGA